CAAGUCGAACGCGGUUUCCUCGCAAGGGGAAACUGAGUGGCGAACGGGUGAGUAACGCGUGGGUGACCUACCUUCGAGUGGGGGAUAACGUCCCGAAAGGGACGCUAAUACCGCAUGACAUCCUGUCCUUGAACGGAUGGAGAUCAAAGCUGGGGAUCGCAAGACCCGGCGCUUGAUGAGGGGCCCGCGUCCGAUUAGCUAGUUGGUGGGGUAAUGGCUCACCAAGGCGACGAUCGGUAUCCGGCCUGAGAGGGCGGACGGACACACUGGGACUGAGACACGGCCCAGACUCCUACGGGAGGCAGCAGUGGGGAAUUGUUCGCAAUGGGCGCAAGCCUGACGACGCAAUGCCGCGUGGAGGAUGAAGGUCUUCGGAUUGUAAACUCCUGUUGCCAGGGACGAAUAGCUUCGACCUAACACGUCGAAGUAUGACGGUACCUGGUGAGGAAGCCCCGGCUAACUCUGUGCCAGCAGCCGCGGUAAUACAGAGGGGGCAAGCGUUGUUCGGAAUUACUGGGCGUAAAGGGCGCGUAGGCGGCCUGCUAAGUCGAACGUGAAAUCCCCGGGCUCAACCCGGGAACUGCGUCCGAUACUGGUUGGCUUGAAUCCGGGAGAGGGAUGUGGAAUUCCAGGUGUAGCGGUGAAAUGCGUAGAUAUCUGGAGGAACACCGGUGGCGAAGGCGGCAUCCUGGACCGGUAUUGACGCUGAGGCGCGAAAGCCAGGGGAGCAAACGGGAUUAGAUACCCCGGUAGUCCUGGCCCUAAACGAUGAAUGCUUGGUGUGGCGGGUAUCGAUCCCUGCCGUGCCGAAGCUAACGCAUUAA
This 824-nucleotide ribosomal RNA is filed under the name uncultured Bacillota bacterium. RNAcentral's name for it is "bacterial SSU rRNA". It matches the Rfam family "Bacterial small subunit ribosomal RNA", at positions 58 to 863 of the family's 1533-position model. Lineage: Bacteria; Bacillati; Bacillota. The record is from RNAcentral.